Molecule: long non-coding RNA, 896 nt
Filed under: Spirodela polyrhiza (greater duckweed)
Lineage: Eukaryota; Viridiplantae; Streptophyta; Magnoliopsida; Alismatales; Araceae
Description: long non-coding RNA (SPOL_LNC001638)
Source: RNAcentral
UCGAGUUUUCUGCUGGAGCAGAGCUCGAAUCGGGCGAUCGAAGCCGGAUCGGAAUCGAGAACCGUUCUUCCGACUACGGAGACGGAGAUCGCCAUCGAUCUUGGCGGCGUUCGGUCGGUCGAGACCGAUAGAUCGGAGCGGAGGAUUCGAGGUCCGGAUCGAUCCCGGAGGUUUUGUCGAGCAUCUUGCCGGAGCAGAGCUCGAAUCGGGCGAUCGAGGUCCGAUCAGAGUCGUGAACAGUUAGUUCAUCCGACUACGAAGAUGAAUCUCUGAAACCAGAUCGAUCGAUGUGAAAGAGGGGAGAUUCCUGUUGUCUCCUUCUUCUUCCCUCGGUCGUUUCUCUGAAUCUCCUUCUUCUGUCCGCAGGAAAGGCGGAGCUCCAGAGGAGCAUCUCCAAUGUCAGGGAGACCUUGAGCGAUCAUCUCGGCGAUGUCGUGGAGGUCUGCGCAGAGGUCGGUUCCUCAUUACUCGAUGUAGGCUGGGCGGGAUCGCCCUCGUCCUUGGGAUCCCUCUUUUAGGGUUUUUCUUCACCAUCUUCCUCCUCUCCGCCAUUCUUGGAUCUCCAAGGACGGCGCGGGCGCCUUCUUCCACAACCUGCUGCAGAUGUGCCAUUCGAGAUUCUAACCCCAAUACAGGAGACAGAAAAAAAGUUUCAGUCCGAGCGAUCGCAGCAACCACUGCGAGAACCGAGCACGGAAUCAGAGAUGACAGGUGAGCCUAGUUCCUCAUGAUCAUCAGCAAUCCCGGCCAGCGAUCUCUUCUGUUCGUUCUCUCGUCGCAGUUCCUCGCAGAAUCCAUUCAGUUCCUUCAUCCUCUCCCAAGAAUUUCCUCGAAAAAGGGCAUCACAGAGCUGGCCCUGGUCGAUCAACACAGAGUUAAUUGCACAGAGAUGAGCC